This 500-nucleotide ribosomal RNA is filed under the name uncultured bacterium. Its description in RNAcentral is "partial 16S ribosomal RNA". It matches the Rfam family "Bacterial small subunit ribosomal RNA", at positions 30 to 523 of the family's 1533-position model. The record is from RNAcentral.
AUUGAACGCUGGCGGAAUGCUUUACACAUGCAAGUCGAACGGCAGCACGGACUUCGGUCUGGUGGCGAGUGGCGAACGGGUGAGUAAUGUAUCGGAACGUGCCCAGUCGUGGGGGAUAACGUAGUGAAAAUUACGCUAAUACCGCAUACGAUCUAUGGAUGAAAGCGGGGGAUCGCAAGACCUCGCGCGAUUGGAGCGGCCGAUAUCAGAUUAGGUCGUUGGUGGGGUAAAGGCCCACCAAGCCAACGAUCUGUAGCUGGUCUGAGAGGACGACCAGCCACACUGGAACGGAGAACCGGUCCAGACGCCUACGGGAGGCAGCAGUGUGGAAUCUUGGACAAUGGGCGAAAGCCUGAUCCAGCCAUUCCGCGUGCAGGAUGAAGGCCCUCGGGUUGUAAACUGCUUUUGUACAGAACGAAAAGGUUUCUACUAAUACUAGGAGCUCAUGACGGUACUGUAAGAAUAAGCACCGGCUAACUACGUGCCAGCAGCCGCUGUAA